RNAcentral lists this transfer RNA (76 nucleotides) under Candidatus Omnitrophota bacterium. RNAcentral describes it as "tRNA-Met". It matches the Rfam family "tRNA". Rfam says of the family: Transfer RNA (tRNA) molecules are approximately 80 nucleotides in length. RNAcentral also lists the same sequence under 1 other name. The record is from RNAcentral. Lineage: Bacteria; Pseudomonadati; Candidatus Omnitrophota.
GGAGAUUUAGUUUAACUGGAAAAAACCAGAGAAUCAUAAUCUCUUAAUAUCGGUUCGACUCCGGUAGUCUCCACCA